UCGUGUUUUUAGAGGAUUUGAUGCUUUAAAGAUGAAAUGAAGCUUGUUUCUGGGUCAUCCCCUAGUGGUCACUUUGACUUCCGCGCCGUAUGAAGGGAUAACAAAAGUGGCUUUAUUUAGGGAAAAAUUUACCAAGGCUAGAAACAUUGGGAACACAGAAACAGGAAAACUGACACAGAUACUGUAGUCUGUCUGUUUUUGUCCUGUUUCUGUCUGCUGUCUUGCCCUGCUGUUAAUUGUUUGCUCCGCCCACUCAUUUGUCACCAUGGACACUAAUUGCUCUCAAUCCUUUCCUCCAGAUGUGUUGUUCUCCGAUUUGUGAUUGGUUCCUGUUUGCUAUAUCUACUGUUUGUUCACUUACCUGGUGUUAGUCGUUGUUGGUAUGUUGUGUGUUUCUGUUUGUUCCCAUUGCCUUUUCGUUCUGCCUUGUGUCGCCUGCCUGACUGUUUUUCUGUUUCGUGUGUUGGCCGAUUAAAAACUGCAUUUGGAUCCUCACUCGCCUUUGUCCCGCCAUGACAGAUACAAAAAUGACAGCAACCAAGAGACACAAGACAACUGGUAUAAAUAAAGGGAUCAAUCAUUUGAAACACAAGGAACAGGGGAUUAAGGAUAGAGCAAGGCAAACUGGUGAUACACAAGACAAAAGCACAUGGCACACGACAAAACGUCCCCCUAGUGUUCAGACAGGGAAGUCCAAGCUGUUCCUGACAAAUAAAUAGAGAAGAUAAGUAAAUAAAGAUGUAAGGAAUUAAGUAAGAAGAGUGAAAGUAGGUAAGAAGAAAGUAAUUAAAUGAAUGAGCAAAUGUCACAGCUCUCAAUUUUUUUUCAUAAAUCACCAUCUCUACAUGUAUGGCAGACUUUCCAUUCCACUGUCUGUUGAAUUCCAACACUGACGCACCUUAUUCUGCUUAAUGAAGUAAAAAAAAAAAUUAGGUGAUCACCUGAACCAGCUCUUGGUUAAUGAGGAAAAGUAUAAAAAGUACCUCAAAUUAAUUGGAGUAAAAUAUCUACUGACCAUGCCAGAAGAAUCGAAAAGAGAAGUUUUGAGCACUGAAAAGGGUUCAAUUCUGGUUUUACUGGCAGAGGGAUACAGUGAGUGUCAGGUUUCUUCCAUCCUUAAAAUUUAAGACCGAGGUUUAUAAGAAUAAGGUUAAGCUGCAAUAGAGACAACAAAGCUACAGACUGGCAGAGGGCAAAAAUGGCCGUUGCCCGGGAUGACUGCCAAAUCAUUUUGAAUGUCACUUGAACAACUGUAGGAUGACAUCAAGUGACCUACAAAAAGAAUGGCAGAUGGGGUGAUGUGCAUGGAGAGGAUGGUUCAAAACAGGCUCCUAGUAGCAGGGCUGAAGUCAUGUAAAGCUUGAAAAGCCCUUCAUUCAUGAGAAGCAAAGAAGAGCCAAGCCAAGGUUUGCAAAAGACCAUAAGGAUUGAAAUGUAGAGAACUGUAAUAAGCUCAUCUUCCCUAAUGAGUCAAUUUUCAGUUUUGCCCAACACCUGGUCAUUUAAUGGUAGACCUGGAGAGGCCUACUGUACAAGCCACAGUGUCUCGUGCCCAGUGUAAAAUUUAGUUGAGAAUCAGUGAUAGCAGUGGUUCAGCAAGGCUGGAAUCUUUGUGACUGGCACAUGAUUCAAGCCUGAAAAGUUUGUCCUGGAAAAAACAUUGUUCCUUCUGCUAUGACAAUGUUCUUCAACUCUGAGUACUGUUUUUUCCAGCAUGACAAUGCUUCAUGCCACACAGACAGGUCAAUCAAGGUGUGGAUGGAGGACCUUCACAUCAAGACUCAGUAAUGUGCAGCCCAGUCUCCAGACCUGAACCCCACUGAAAACCUCUGGAAUGUGAUCACGAGGAAGAUGAAUGGUCACAAGUCACCAAAAGCUGAGCUGCUUUAAUUUUUGUACCAGGAGUAGCAGUCACCCAACAAUUGCGUGAAAGCUUGGUGGAGAACAUGCCAAGAUGCAUGAAAAUCCAGCCUCUUCAUUUUCCCCAGAGUUGUAUGUAACACCCUCGGGCACCUGUAGAUGGAGGUGCAGACCUCCUCCUAGUAUCAUUGGGAUCACAUGAGGACUAUAUCAUCUAUCUACCCACUCAGCUGCCCUUUUACUAACUAUUGUUAUUAUUUGUAUUUUUUUUAAUUCAGAAAUCCUAAACCACAAAAGAAGUCUUUCUCACAUCUGAAACCUUUAAGGAACAUCUGUACUUCAGAUCAUAAUAAAGCUCUGACACCAGGGACUCCUUGUAAAAAUACUAAAUGCACAAAUGUCUCUUCAUAGAAUACUACAAAAAUUACAUGGUUAAAUUUGUUUAUGUGGAGCAUAUGCCAUACCAGGAUCUGUGUAAGCUGUUACUAUAGAAACAAUAUAAUUAGAGCAAAGAUUGAAAUUUGGCAUUUUUUUUUUUUACUUGGAUGGAGAUGUGCUAAAUGUUUAGCUAAAAAAUAACACGCUCAUUUAAAAAGAUCUACAUUAUUUUUCUGAGAAAUCUGAUCAGAGUCAGAGAGCCACACUUGAUGUUUAAUUAACCUUAUCACUCAGAUCUGACUUGGGUGGAAGAUUUUGAAGGGAAUUUUCAAGGGAAUCUCUCAUUGUGAGCUUGGGCUGCUCGGGUUUGAUACAGUAUGUGUGUCUACAGCAUGGGUGACCGAGUGUGUACACCAAUUCACAUUGAAAGUGGCUGAGGCUUUUUUUAGUUGCUAAUGUUUCAGUCCACACUAAUUCAGUGAAGCAUGCAACACGCAUCUGUUGAACUACAAACUGCGUACGUGGCUGAAAUAUAAAGUUCCAUUGAAAAAACAGAUAUUUAAGUAGUUUUCUUAUAUAAAAGAUAAAGUGUUUGCUCUGUAAAUCACUUAUAGAAAGAAUGUAUCUUCUUAAAUCCUAAAUUUAGUAUUUAAAAAAAAAUAAAGUAUUAUUUGCUAACUUAUUGUUUUGGUUUGUAAUUAUGUAAUUAUUUUUUAGGCUUCAUCUUAAAACCAAACAUUUGGUCUGACAGAUGAAAAGGACAUUUUAAAGACAGGACUGACAAACAACUGAAUAAACUGCCUGUUUGACGUCCUUGAUGGAGUGCUGCUUUUAGUAACGCAGAUGUCCAUCGUCUGGCAACAACGCACAUCAAGAACUCAAAUUCUGUUUUGUAUUCAUCAGUUUGCAAUUGAAAUCAAAAAGUGGAGACCACUGGAAGUCAUGGAGGUACACUUUUUUUUUUAAAAAAAUUACAAAAGUUACAGCAGUGACAUAUAUACUUGUUCAUCAUUUUAAAUCUUUCCAAAAGUUCAUCUGACUAAUCAUCUUGAUUUAUUAUUUAUCACCAGACUGUAUCCACGAUCACAUGAAACUGCACUAGAAUUAGUGAGACACUACAUAGACAUAUUUAGAAGGAAAAUGAACUAAAACACAUCACAGCCUAAUUGUUUUUAACAUCUAAUGCAUCAAUAAUGUGAGCAUGCCACAAACAGUCUGGUUACAGUUUAUUACAGUCUGGUUUGGUUCAGCCACCAAAUCAGACAUAUGUAGGCUGCAAUGGACUGUUAAAACAGCUGAGAGGAUUACUGGUGUGCUCCUGCCCAAUCUCCAGGACUUGUAUAACUGCAGGGUAAAGACACGGGUAGGUAACAUGAUCAAAGUCACCUCCCACCUUGGACACAGUCUGUUUGCACCUCUGCCAUCAGGCAGAUGCUAUAGAUCACUACGCACUAAAACAUCUAGGUACAAGAGCAGUUUCUUUUCACAGGCCAUAUCCAUUUUGAACAGCGAGCACAUCCAUUACCUAUCCUUUCCUUUAAAGUGCAAUAUUCUACAAUGCAAUGUCUUUUACUUGCUAGGCACAUAUGUAAAGAGCUCUACUUUACUUUUGUAUGUUAUUAAAAUGUUUAGCUUUUUACCCAUUUUAGUCUACAUUUUUACCUCUGUUUUUGUGUUUGUAUACACUGUUUAGUAGAACUCCUGUAACCACAACCACAUUUUCUUGAGUGUGUGCAUACUUGGCAAAUAAAGCUGAUUCUGAUUCCUAAAUAUACAAUAUAACAUUUCAUUCAGCCCUCGAUAAUACUAAACCACAGGUGUCACAACAGUUUAGCAGACUUUUAGACCGUUUGUGUUUACGUAUUAGUCAUGGUCAUGUCCUGGCUGUUCACAAGUAGUUGUGAGAUUCUUGAUUUUGGUGAGUGGAAAGAGUUGCCAGAUCUGAAUGACGGAAGGACCAAUGAGAACCAGCCCUAAACCAAUCCAAUAACCAAUACCCCCCAAAAAAAUCAUGACUCGUGAGGUGUAAUAUUUAGCAGUAUAAUUAAUUUACAUUUCCAGCAUUUAGCAGACACUCUUAUCCAGCGCAACAUAAAUUUGAUCUCAUUUUAUAAAACUGGGCAACUGAGGGUUAAGGGCCUUGCUCAGGUGCCCAACAGUGGCAGCCUGGUGUAUGUGGGAAUCAAACUUGAUUGGCAGUCCAACACCUUAACCUCUAAGCUAUCACAUCCCUCGGUCAAUUCUAUCAUUCAAUUUUAACAAUGUUUUUAAAAACAAAUUUAUCAUUUAAUCACCAGCCCAGAAAUCUCAUCUCUCACUGUACUAGUUUGGAGGAGGAACAUGUGCACCUGCCUGGCAUUUGGGAAGACAGAUAUGAUUGGCUUAAAACAAUGUGGGUGUGGCUACAAACGUGACGUUUAGUGUUUACAUCGUCGUGGCUGUUCACUUACUCAACAGUGGACAGUUUCAGUGAUUACAUGCUUGUGCAAGCACUUCAGCUGCAGUGCAAAAGGAACAGGGGAGACACGAAGAAUAUCUCUAAUCAGUUUGCUCCAGUUAUAAUCUGUGUUUCUUUAAAACAUCCAAGUGGGAGAUGGAGUUCUCUCUGAUCCCAGCACAGGUUCCAGUGAAUGUCCUAUUGCUAUGGAAAUUCUAUUGUAUCAGAAUGAAUGCAUGGAUAAAUUAGAAAUCGUCUGAUUUCAAAACUGCUAGGUAAAAGGUAGGAAAAAUAAAAAUAAAGCAUUAUCCAGUCACUUUCAUGGAUUCCCC
Long non-coding RNA from Tachysurus fulvidraco (yellow catfish), 5007 nucleotides. RefSeq lists it as uncharacterized. The transcript has 4 exons. Lineage: Eukaryota; Metazoa; Chordata; Actinopteri; Siluriformes; Bagridae. The record is from RefSeq and is a predicted model, not a curated record.